AGAGGAAGUAAAAGUCGUAACAAGGUCUCCGUAGGUGAACCUGCGGAGGGAUCAUUACAGAGUUCGUGCCCUCCUGGGUAGAUCUCCCACCCUGUGUUGUCAGUACCAUGUUGCUUUGGCGGGACGCGAGGCACGCCUCCCACCGGCUCCGGCUGGUGUGCGCCCGCCAGAGGACCCCAAACCCUGAAUAUGUAGUGUCGUCUGAGUACCAUACAAUCGUUAAAACUUUCAACAACGGAUCUCUUGGUUCUGGCAUCGAUGAAGAACGCAGCGAAAUGCGAUAAGUAAUGUGAAUUGCAGAAUUCAGUGAAUCAUCGAAUCUUUGAACGCACAUUGCGCCCCUUGGUAUUCCGGGGGGCAUGCCUGUUCGAGCGUCAUGACAACCCUCAAGCCUGGCUUGGUGUUGGGCCUCGCCGUUCACCCGGCGGGCCCUAAAACGAGUGGCGGUGCCGUCGCGGCCCUGAGCGUAGUACACAUCCUCGCUAUAGGGACCCGGUGGUCGCUGGCCAGCAACCCCCAACUUCUAAGUUUGACCUCGGAUCAGGUAGGGAUACCCGCUGAACUUAAGCAUAUCA
This 575-nucleotide unclassified non-coding RNA is filed under the name Hyphodiscus hymeniophilus. RNAcentral's name for it is "partial contains ITS1, 5.8S rRNA and ITS2". The stretch from base 224 to 377 matches the Rfam family "5.8S ribosomal RNA". The record is from RNAcentral. Lineage: Eukaryota; Fungi; Ascomycota; Leotiomycetes; Helotiales; Hyphodiscaceae.